Molecule: ribosomal RNA, 504 nt
Filed under: uncultured bacterium
Lineage: Bacteria
Description: bacterial SSU rRNA
Rfam family: Bacterial small subunit ribosomal RNA
Source: RNAcentral
GAUGAACGCUAGCGGGAGGCCUAAUACAUGCAAGUCGAGCGGUAUAGAGACUUCGGUUUCUAGAGAGCGGCGCACGGGUGAGUAACGCGUACAUGACCUACCUUCAAGCCUGGGAUAGCCCUGGGAAACUAGGAUUAAUACCGGAUGUGAUAAUAAGUUUGGAUAUUUAUUAUUAAAGUUACGGCGCUUGGAGAUGGGUGUGCGUCUGAUUAGCUAGUUGGCGAGGUAACGGCUCACCAAGGCGACGAUCAGUAGGGGGCGUGAGAGCGUGACCCCCCACACGGGUACUGAGACACGGACCCGACUCCUACGGGAGGCAGCAGUAAGGAAUAUUGGUCAAUGGGCGAAAGCCUGAACCAGCCAUCCCGCGUGCAGGAUGAAGGUCCUAUGGAUUGUAAACUGCUUUUAUCAGGGAAGAAACGCCUUCAUUCAUGAGGGUCUGACGGUACCUGAGGAAUAAGCACCGGCUAACUCCCGUGCCAGCAGCCGCGGUAAAGUCGAUAU